GGAGUUGUAGCUCAUCGGUAGAGCACUCGCCUAGCACGUGUGCGGCUCUGGGUUCGAUCUCAGCACCA
RNAcentral lists this transfer RNA (68 nucleotides) under Marmota monax (woodchuck). It matches the Rfam family "tRNA". From Rfam's summary of the family: Transfer RNA (tRNA) molecules are approximately 80 nucleotides in length. Their secondary structure includes four short double-helical elements and three loops (D, anti-codon, and T loops). The record is from Rfam by way of RNAcentral. Lineage: Eukaryota; Metazoa; Chordata; Mammalia; Rodentia; Sciuridae.